AAAAUGCUUUUUACAGCAGAUUCAGGAAUUAAUAAUAGGUUUAUGAAAGAUUUGUGCCAGCACUUGCGGUUAUACAUUCUGAAGUCUUCAAACUCUAGCUAUUCACUUUCCCUUAUUGUUUUAAUUUUUUUCUCUUUUUGGUUCGGUAAAAUGUUCAACGAGAUGAAAUUGAAGAAAAGGGGGUAGAGGAAUGAAUAUAAACUAGGAUUAGAUACCCUACUAUUCUUUUAAAUUAAGGUGUGUGGAAAAAAAUAAAAAGUAUGGCGGUCUUCAAUCUUGUCAGAGGGACAUGUGUUCAUAUAACGAAUUUGCACGAAUAUCUGUCCUAAUCUAGAAUAAUUCAUUUUGUACACCGCUGUCUGAAAGAAAUUAUAAAAGUAUUUUCUUCUUUCUUUUAAAGAAAUAAGGCAAGUUAAGGUGCAGAUUAUGUUUAGGGGAAUAUGUGUUCCACUAGGAAUUGUGGUUUUAUCAGUGAAAUAGAUUAAUAAAGAGAAUUUGAUAGUAAGAUUGGUAAUUUAACUAGUCUGAAGAAGGGCUAUAGGAGGUGUACAAAUUGCCCGUCACUCUAAGCUUACAGCUAGAGAAGUCGUAACAAAGUUGGUCUACUGGAAUGUGGAUCAGGAGUAACGGAUGAUUCUUAAAAGAGAU
RNAcentral lists this ribosomal RNA (648 nucleotides) under Brueelia antiqua. Its description in RNAcentral is "12S ribosomal RNA". The record is from RNAcentral. Lineage: Eukaryota; Metazoa; Arthropoda; Insecta; Psocodea; Philopteridae.